Molecule: ribosomal RNA, 442 nt
Filed under: uncultured bacterium
Lineage: Bacteria
Description: partial 16S ribosomal RNA
Rfam family: Bacterial small subunit ribosomal RNA
Source: RNAcentral
CCUACGGGAGGCAGCAGUGGGGGAUAUUGGACAAUGGGCGCAAGCCUGACCCAGCAACGCCGCGUGAAGGAAGAAGGCUUUCGGGUUGUAAACUUCUUUUGGCAGGGAAGAGCAUAACACUGUACCUGUCAAAUAAGCCACGUCUAACUACGUCACAGCCGCCGCGGUAAUGCGUAGGUGGCAAGCGUUCUCCGGUUUUAGUGGGUGUAAAGGGCGUGUAGCCGGGCUGAUAAGUCAGAUGUGAAAGCCGGGGGCUCAACCCCGGAACUGCUUUUGAAACUGUGUGUCUUGAGUACCGGAGGGGCAGGCGGAAUUCCUAGUGUAGCGGUGAAAUGCGUAGAUAUCAGGAGGAACACCAGCGGCGAAGGCGGCCUGCUGGACGAAAACUGACGGUGAGGCGCGAAAGCGUGGGGAGCAAACAGGAUUAGAUACCCGAGUAGUC